GACAGAGGAGCCAAGCGUUGUCCGGAUUCAUUGGGCGUAAAGAGCGCGCAGGCGGCUUGGUAAGUCGGAUGUGAAAUCCCGAGGCUCAACCUCGGGUCUGCAUCCGAUACUGCCCGGCUAGAGGUAGGUAGGGGAGAUCGGAAUUCCUGGUGUAGCGGUGAAAUGCGCAGAUAUCAGGAGGAACACCGGUGGCGAAGGCGGAUCUCUGGGCCUUACCUGACGCUCAGGCGCGAAAGCUAGGGGAGCGAACUGG
Molecule: ribosomal RNA, 253 nt
Filed under: uncultured bacterium
Lineage: Bacteria
Description: partial 16S ribosomal RNA
Rfam family: Bacterial small subunit ribosomal RNA
Source: RNAcentral